GAGACUCUGUGCGCGUGCAUAUCAAUAAGCGGAGGAAAAGAAACUAACAAGGAUUCCCUUAGUAACGGCGAGUGAAGCGGGAAGAGCUCAAAUUUGAAAUCUUAAAGGGUUUCCCUUUACGAAUUGUAGUUUAAAGAAGUGUUUUCUGUUGGAGUUUCGGUAAAAGUUCUUUGGAAUAGGACAUCAUAGAGGGUGAGAAUCCCGUAUUUGAUCGUUACUUUCCAGCUGUGUGAUACACUUUCAAAGAGUCGGAUUGUUUGGGAAUGCAGUCCAAAAUGGGUGGUAAAUUUCAUCUAAAGCUAAAUAUUGGCGAGAGACCGAUAGCGAACAAGUACCGUGAGGGAAAGAUGAAAAGAACUUUGAAAAGAGAGUUAAACAGUACGUGAAAUUGUCAAAAGGGAAGCGUUUGACACCAGUGUUGUUUUCUCGAAAAUCAAUUAAAAAUGAUGGGAUUUUGUGUUGUAUUGACUUUAUCAGCUUUCUGCACUUUUUUCUUAUCUUUUUUAAUGCACUUUUCGUUUAACAAGUCAACAUCAAUUUCUUUUGUUGUAAAAGAGUCAUUGGAAGGUGGCUUUUUCUUCGGAAAAAGUGUUUAUAGCCUUUGGCUUCUGCAAUCGGAGAGAUUGAGGUCUGCAGCGUAGAUCCCUCGGGGUUAGAUACAUUUGUGCUAAGCUAUAGUUCUUUAUAGACAACUUGUUGACUAUAAUCAAUCCUGUAACUUACUCGCUUAUGCUAUUUUACCUACGCUUAGGAUGUUGAAGAUGUAGCACAUCAU
RNAcentral lists this ribosomal RNA (775 nucleotides) under uncultured Neocallimastigales. Its description in RNAcentral is "partial large subunit ribosomal RNA". The stretch from base 5 to 694 matches the Rfam family "Eukaryotic large subunit ribosomal RNA", at positions 24 to 664 of the family's 3401-position model. Lineage: Eukaryota; Fungi; Neocallimastigomycota; Neocallimastigomycetes; Neocallimastigales. The record is from RNAcentral.